This is a long non-coding RNA of Macrobrachium nipponense, 245 nucleotides long. RefSeq lists it as uncharacterized. Lineage: Eukaryota; Metazoa; Arthropoda; Malacostraca; Decapoda; Palaemonidae. The record is from RefSeq and is a predicted model, not a curated record. The transcript is spliced from 2 exons.
UCUUAAUGACAAACCAAUGGUUGUUUUUGCUUUUGGCAAAGUAAAACCUACGUAGCACCUGGUAAACUCCAAAUGUAUAUAUGGAUUGAGAUCCCAUAUUUCCAUCAUCGUUUGCGGGCUGAGAGGAUUACGAGUUGUGGAAUCUUUCACCAUUUCAACUCCAAUCAUCAAACCUUUCCCUCGGACAUCUCCAACCAUUUCAAAUUCAUCCCUGUAACAUAAUAAAAGCAAAUGUGUUAAAAAAU